This 233-nucleotide ribosomal RNA is filed under the name uncultured bacterium. RNAcentral describes it as "partial 16S ribosomal RNA". It matches the Rfam family "Bacterial small subunit ribosomal RNA", at positions 794 to 1026 of the family's 1533-position model. The record is from RNAcentral.
UCCACGCCCUAAACGAUGUCAACUAAGUGUGUGGGAGUUUAACUCCUGCGUAUUGAAGCUAACGCGAUAAGUUGACCGCCUGGGGAGUACGGUCGCAAGACUAAAACUCAAAUGAAUUGACGGGGGCCCGCACAAGCGGUGGAGCAUGUGGUUUAAUUCGAUGCAACGCGAAGAACCUUACCAGGUCUUGACAUGUACGGAAUUUUCCAGAGACGGAAAAGUGCCUUCGGGAA